RNAcentral lists this ribosomal RNA (434 nucleotides) under Capnocytophaga granulosa. RNAcentral describes it as "bacterial SSU rRNA". It matches the Rfam family "Bacterial small subunit ribosomal RNA", at positions 28 to 465 of the family's 1533-position model. The record is from RNAcentral. Lineage: Bacteria; Pseudomonadati; Bacteroidota; Flavobacteriia; Flavobacteriales; Flavobacteriaceae.
GAUGAACGCUAGCGGCAGGCCUAACACAUGCAAGUCGAGGGAGAAGCCCUUCGGGGCAGAAACCGGCGCACGGGUGCGUAACGCGUAUGCAACCUACCUUUCACAGGGGGAUAGCCCGAAGAAAUUUGGAUUAAUACCCCAUAAUAUUAUUGGAUGGCAUCAUUUGAUAAUUAAAAUUACGAUGGUGAAAGAUGGGCAUGCGUCCUAUUAGCUAGUUGGAGUGGUAACGGCACCCCAAGGCUACGAUAGGUAGGGGUCCUGAGAGGGAGAUCCCCCACACUGGUAUUGAGACAGGGACCAGACUCCUACGGGAGGCAGCAGUGAGGAAUAUUGGUCAAUGGUCGGAAGACUGAACCAGCCAUGCCGCGUGCAGGAAGAAUGCCUUAUGGGUUGUAAACUGCUUUUAUAUGGGAAGAAUAAGGUGUACGUGUACA